GACGGAGGAGGCAAGCGUUAUCCGGAAUUAUUGGGCGUAAAGCGUCCGCAGGUGGCUUCUCAAGUCUGCCGUCAAAGCCCAGGGCUUAACUCUGGAUAGGCGGUGGAAACUGGGUCGCUAGAGUAUGGUAGGGGUAGAGGGAAUUCCCGGUGUAGCGGUGAAAUGCGUAGAUAUCGGGAAGAACACCAGUGGCGAAGGCGCUCUACUGGGCCAUUACUGACACUCAUGGACGAAAGCUAGGGGAGCGAAAGGG
RNAcentral lists this ribosomal RNA (253 nucleotides) under uncultured bacterium. RNAcentral describes it as "partial 16S ribosomal RNA". It matches the Rfam family "Bacterial small subunit ribosomal RNA", at positions 524 to 776 of the family's 1533-position model. The record is from RNAcentral.